GAUGAACGCUGGCGGCGUGCCUAAUACAUGCAAGUCGAGCGAACGGACGAGAAGCUUGCUUCUCUGAUGUUAGCGGCGGACGGGUGAGUAACACGUGGAUAACCUACCUAUAAGACUGGGAUAACUUCGGGAAACCGUAGCUAAUACCGGAUAAUAUUUUGAACCGCAUGGUUCAAAAGUGAAAGACGGUCUUGCUGUCACUUAUAGAUGGAUCCGCGCUGCAUUAGCUAGUUGGUAAGGUAACGGCUUACCAAGGCAACGAUGCAUAGCCGACCUGAGAGGGUGAUCGGCCACACUGGAACUGAGACACGGUCCAGGCUCCUACGGGAGGCAGCAGUAGGGAAUCUUCCGCAAUGGGCGAAAGCCUGACGGAGCAACGCCGCGUGAGUGAUGAAGGUCUUCGGAUCGUAAAACUCUGUUAUUAGGGAAGAACAUAUGUGUAAGUAACUGUACACAUCUUGACGGUACCUAAUCAGAAAGCCACGGCUAACUACGUG
This 497-nucleotide ribosomal RNA is filed under the name uncultured bacterium. RNAcentral describes it as "partial 16S ribosomal RNA". It matches the Rfam family "Bacterial small subunit ribosomal RNA", at positions 28 to 507 of the family's 1533-position model. The record is from RNAcentral.